CUGGGUCCCUUGGCGAGCCAGAGAGGACGGUGGGUGUGUGAAAACCCAAGCUAGACCUGCCUGCAUCGUGGAUUUUUCCCAAACUGCAUCGGUGAAGCAUCGCGUAGAGCUUCCAUCAUCUGGGUUCGAUUUCAUGUGUUAAGGUAAGGUUUGUACCUUAACCGCUGAAUUCCAUUGUGCCAUUGUCCAUUCGCGUGCUGCGUGUAUGCCUUUUGUAGCUGUUUCCUGACUCGAUUGAUUUCGAUUCUCAAACAGAAGCUGGUUUCUAGCAGUCCAUAGUGUUCAGCAAAUCCAGAGGAAGAGAUUGCCAGUGAUCCCCGAUGGUGGCCAGCAGACAGCGCUUUCUGAGAUCAUUAGAGCUGUUACAAAAUCAGUUUGGGCAGCUAGGUGAGCUGCUUGAUGAAUGGUAGUCUCCAGCCAGACUUGUCGUGUGAAAGUGCAUUCUAGAAAGAUGUGAGUGGUUGUUUCAUCUUUCUGCAUCUCACACAUUGUGUGUUAUUAAUAAUGAGGGGACUUCAAUUAAGAUCUUUUGUUUUAAUAGUCUAGAUAAUAUAUAUAUAUAUAUAUAUUAUUUUAGGAAAAUAUUUAAGAAUCGUUGGAUAAUUACAAAUAAUUUCCAUAAAUAUUUUUUUAAAUUUAAAUAUAGUGGC
Molecule: long non-coding RNA, 650 nt
Filed under: Brassica rapa (field mustard)
Lineage: Eukaryota; Viridiplantae; Streptophyta; Magnoliopsida; Brassicales; Brassicaceae
Description: long non-coding RNA (BRAP_LNC007035)
Source: RNAcentral